RNAcentral lists this ribosomal RNA (873 nucleotides) under uncultured Pseudomonadales bacterium. Its description in RNAcentral is "bacterial SSU rRNA". It matches the Rfam family "Bacterial small subunit ribosomal RNA", at positions 28 to 896 of the family's 1533-position model. Lineage: Bacteria; Pseudomonadati; Pseudomonadota; Gammaproteobacteria; Pseudomonadales. The record is from RNAcentral.
AUUGAACGCUGGCGGCAGGCCUAACACAUGCAAGUCGAGCGGAUGAAGGGAGCUUGCUCCUGGAUUCAGCGGCGGACGGGUGAGUAAUGCCUAGGAAUCUGCCUGGUAGUGGGGGAUAACGUCCGGAAACGGGCGCUAAUACCGCAUACGUCCUGAGGGAGAAAGUGGGGGAUCUUCGGACCUCACGCUAUCAGAUGAGCCUAGGUCGGAUUAGCUAGUUGGUGGGGUAAAGGCCUACCAAGGCGACGAUCCGUAACUGGUCUGAGAGGAUGAUCAGUCACACUGGAACUGAGACACGGUCCAGACUCCUACGGGAGGCAGCAGUGGGGAAUAUUGGACAAUGGGCGAAAGCCUGAUCCAGCCAUGCCGCGUGUGUGAAGAAGGUCUUCGGAUUGUAAAGCACUUUAAGUUGGGAGGAAGGGCAGUAAGUUAAUACCUUGCUGUUUUGACGUUACCAACAGAAUAAGCACCGGCUAACUUCGUGCCAGCAGCCGCGGUAAUACGAAGGGUGCAAGCGUUAAUCGGAAUUACUGGGCGUAAAGCGCGCGUAGGUGGUUCAGCAAGUUGGAUGUGAAAUCCCCGGGCUCAACCUGGGAACUGCAUCCAAAACUACUGAGCUAGAGUACGGUAGAGGGUGGUGGAAUUUCCUGUGUAGCGGUGAAAUGCGUAGAUAUAGGAAGGAACACCAGUGGCGAAGGCGACCACCUGGACUGAUACUGACACUGAGGUGCGAAAGCGUGGGGAGCAAACAGGAUUAGAUACCCUGGUAGUCCACGCCGUAAACGAUGUCGACUAGCCGUUGGGAUCCUUGAGAUCUUAGUGGCGCAGCUAACGCGAUAAGUCGACCGCCUGGGGAGUACGGCCGCAAGGUUA